Lepidothrix coronata (blue-crowned manakin) is the source of this 619-nucleotide long non-coding RNA. RefSeq lists it as uncharacterized. The record is from RefSeq and is a predicted model, not a curated record. Lineage: Eukaryota; Metazoa; Chordata; Aves; Passeriformes; Pipridae. The transcript has 3 exons.
ACUUGCAGAGCCUCACAUCUGUUGUGUCAGAGCACCUGGGGAGGUGGGGCAGUCACAGAGGAGACACAGCUGCUGCAUCAGGCAGGAACUUCUCACCACUGUCUCCUGUCCUUGAGUCAUCAGGUGUAAGUGAUCUUCAUCGUAUUUUUAGCAACAGGCCCAGCUCAUGACUCAGAGCAGGACUAACUUACGCAGAACCACAUCCCACUGUAAAGCACUAGAACGAGGCCCAAAUUAUGUACUCACAUCAUUACAGAAGUCAGACAACUUUCUGCAAGUUAAGCGAUUAAAAGGUGCACAUCUCUGACACAUGAAAACUCUGAACUCAGCAUCAAAAGAUGACUGAAACAUAGUCUGCAAUAAUUCUCAGCUAUCUUUUUUUGCAAGGCAUCCUACCCAUCAAUAAUACUUGCUCUGUGGUAAGUUCAGCCCACAGAUAAGGAAAUAAAUCAGACGGAAGGACACGAAAAGUAAUUUUUAUUCCAAAUGUUAAUUUUAUCCUUAUUUCAAAAUAAAUUCUCAAUACAUUACCAUAAUAGAUUUCUGCAUCUAUUAGCAUUAUACAUGUGCAAGACAAGUAUCAAUCUCUGUCCCUGGGGAGCCGAAUUCUGUCACUUAA